Molecule: ribosomal RNA, 1479 nt
Filed under: Triticum aestivum (bread wheat)
Lineage: Eukaryota; Viridiplantae; Streptophyta; Magnoliopsida; Poales; Poaceae
Description: partial small subunit ribosomal RNA
Source: RNAcentral
AUGCCCGUCCGCCCCUUUCACACAUCCUCUGUCCAGUACAUUUUUCAGGGUAACGGGGUGUUGGCAACUUGGUGGCGCCGUUGUUCUUCCGAAAUGAGGAUCCGGGGCUCGCUGGUGCUGCUAAUGCAUGUCCUGCUCUGCCUGGUAAGCGGCGCCUACUCUGGCCGCACGAGCUCUUACGUGCGUAAUGAGUUUCCGUCCGACGACAUUCCUCUAGAGCACGAGUCUCUUGCGGUUCCGAAUGGCCAUAACGCUCCACAACAGGUUCAUAUCACUCAAGGUGACUAUGACGGGAAAGCCGUCAUAAUCUCGUGGGUUACGGCGUUGGAACCCACAAGGAGUGAGGUGUUUUACGGUGAACAGGAGAAACACUAUGAUCGGAAAGCCAAAGGGAGGAUGACGAAUUAUACAUUCUACGACUAUCGAUCUGGAUACAUACAUCACUGCCUUGUUGAUAGCCUUGAGUAUAACACGAAGUAUUACUACAAGAUUGGAACAGGAGAUUCAGCUCGAGAAUUUUGGUUUCAAACACCUCCAGCAAUUGAUCCAGAUGCACCCUACACAUUUGGCAUCAUAGGUGAUCUGGGGCAAACAUUUAAUUCACUCUCAACUCUUCAACAUUAUGUGAAAAGUGGAGGACAAAGUGUUUUAUAUGUUGGGGACUUGUCUUAUGCUGAUAAAUAUGAAGACAAUGAUGGCGGUCGGUGGGAUUCUUGGGGUCGACUUGUUGAACGUAGCACUGCAUAUCAACCAUGGAUAUGGAACUCUGGGAAUCAUGAGAUAGAAUACAUGCCUGAUCUGGGAGAAACUUCUACAUUUAAGCCAUAUCUGCAUAGAUAUGCAACACCAUAUUUGGCAUCAAAGAGCAACUCCCCAAUGUGGUAUGCAGUCAGGCGUGCAUCGGCUCAUAUUAUCGUGCUCUCUAGCUAUUCCCCAUUCGUAAAAUUCACUCCUCAAUACAAGUGGCUGAAGAAGGAACUGAAGCGCGUGGACCGGGAGGAGACACCUUGGCUUAUUGUUCUCAUGCACGUUCCCAUGUACAGCAGCAACGAUGCACAUUAUAUGGAGGGCGAGAGCAUGAGGGUUGCUUUCGAGGAAUGGUUCAUCAAGUACGAUGUGGACCUGGUAUUCGCGGGCCAUGUCCAUGCUUACGAGAGAUCGCACCGUGUAUCCAAUGUGGACUACAAGGUGACAUCGGGGAGUCGAUACCCGGUGCCAGAUGAAUCCGCUCCCGUGUACAUAACAGUUGGCGAUGGAGGCAACACAGAAGGACUCGCUUCGAGGUUCAACGACCCGCAACCGGACUACUCCGCGUUCAGGAAGGCCAGUUAUGGGCACUCGACCCUGCAGCUGAAGAACAGGACGCACGCCGUCUAUCAGUGGCAUAGGAACGAUGAUGGGAAGCAUGUGCUGGCGGACAAAGUGGUGUUCCACAACCAACUAGAAGAACGCCCGUGCGUUGCAACGGGGCCACAUUAA